UAACUCAGAAGGUAAAGGAUCUGCCUCCAAUGCAGGAGACCCAGGUUCAAUCCCUGG
This 57-nucleotide transfer RNA is filed under the name Bos taurus (domestic cattle). It matches the Rfam family "tRNA", at positions 8 to 63 of the family's 71-position model. Rfam says of the family: Transfer RNA (tRNA) molecules are approximately 80 nucleotides in length. Their secondary structure includes four short double-helical elements and three loops (D, anti-codon, and T loops). Further hydrogen bonds mediate the characteristic L-shaped molecular structure. tRNAs have two regions of fundamental functional importance: the anti-codon, which is responsible for specific mRNA codon recognition, and the 3' end, to which the tRNAs corresponding amino acid is attached (by aminoacyl-tRNA synthetases). tRNAs cope with the degeneracy of the genetic code in two manners: having more than one tRNA (with a specific anti-codon) for a particular amino acid; and 'wobble' base-pairing, i.e. permitting non-standard base-pairing at the 3rd anti-codon position. The record is from Rfam by way of RNAcentral. RNAcentral also lists the same sequence under 4 other names. Lineage: Eukaryota; Metazoa; Chordata; Mammalia; Artiodactyla; Bovidae.